AACUUUCAACAACGGAUCUCUUGGCUCUCGCAUCGAUGAAGAACGCAGCGAAAUGCGAUACGUAAUGGGAAUUGCAGAAUUCAGUGAAUCAUCGAAUCUUUGAACGCACCUUGCGCCCCUUGGAAUUCCGAGGGGCACACCCGGUUGAGUGUCGUGAACAUCCUUCUACCUUUCUUGGUUUCUUGACCGGGGAAGGCUUGGACUUUGGGGGUCUUUUAUUGCUGGCCUCUUUGAAGCCAGCUCCUCCUAAAUGGAUUAGUGUGGUCUGCUUUGCCGAUCCUUGACGUGAUAAGAUGUUUCUACGUCUUGGGUUUCGCACUGUCGCUUUAGACCCCGCUUCUAACCGUCUUGCAUUCAAGACAGAGUUUUAAACCUUGACCUCAAAUCGGGUGAGACUACCCGCUGAACUUAAGCAUAUCAAUAAGCGGAGGCU
This 433-nucleotide unclassified non-coding RNA is filed under the name uncultured Russula. RNAcentral describes it as "sequence contains ITS2". The stretch from base 1 to 154 matches the Rfam family "5.8S ribosomal RNA". The record is from RNAcentral. Lineage: Eukaryota; Fungi; Basidiomycota; Agaricomycetes; Russulales; Russulaceae.